This 329-nucleotide ribosomal RNA is filed under the name uncultured eukaryote. RNAcentral's name for it is "partial 18S ribosomal RNA". It matches the Rfam family "Eukaryotic small subunit ribosomal RNA", at positions 1470 to 1796 of the family's 1831-position model. The record is from RNAcentral.
CCCUUAGAUGUUCUGGGCCGCACGCGCGCUACACUGAUGCAUUCAACGAGUCUAAAACCUGCUCUGAUAGGGGUGGGUAAUCUUUUGAAUGUGCAUCGUGAUUGGGAUAGAUGAUUGCAAUUUUUCAUCUUCAACGAGGAAUGCCUAGUAAACGCAAGUCAUCAGCUUGCAUUGAUUACGUCCCUGCCCUUUGUACACACCGCCCGUCGCUCAUACCGAUUGAAUGAUCCGAUGAAUAUCAUGGAUUGAGGAUGCAAGCAGGUUCGCCUGUCUUCAUCUUCGAGAAGUGAAGUAAAUCUUAUCAUUUAGAGGAAGGAGAAGUCGUAACA